This 3193-nucleotide long non-coding RNA is filed under the name Salmo salar (Atlantic salmon). RNAcentral's name for it is "lncRNA (ENSSSAG00000105453.1)". Lineage: Eukaryota; Metazoa; Chordata; Actinopteri; Salmoniformes; Salmonidae. The record is from RNAcentral.
CACACACACACACACACACACACAUCUCUCCAUUCUGGUUGUUUUCUAACGUUCGAUCCAACUUGGUAUUUUAUUAGCAGCUGAUACUCCUGGGGUCCACAUGAAGCAGGACAGAACAUUCCUUUGACAAGAACGGCUCAAAGACAAAACUACUAACAUUUUAAAAUAAGGACAAUAUAACUAGGAGGUUCUGUACUGACUAAAUACUGAGAAAAAACCCAUAGAGACCUAAUAUUCUAGGACUGUGUUUAUCGUGUACUAAUUAAUAUUCUAGUACUAUGUUUAUCGUGUACUAAUUAAUAUUCUAGGACUACGUUUAUCGUGUACUAAUUAAUAUUCUAGUACUAUGUUUAUCGUGUACUAAUUAAUAUUCUAGGACUACGUUUAUCGUGUACUAAUUAAUAUUCUAGUACUAUGUUUAUUGUGUACUAAUUAAUAUUCUAGUACUAUGUUUAUUGUGUACUAAUUAAUAUUCUAGGACUACGUUUAUUGUGUACUAAUUAAUAUUCUAGUACUAUGUUUAUUGUGUACUAAUUAAUAUUCUAGGACUACGUUUAUUGUGUACUAAUUCAUAUUCUAGUACUAUGUUUAUUGUGUACUAAUUAAUAGUCUGAGAAGUAGCUGGUGAAACAAGCGAGGCAGUCAUUUGAGAAACCAAGGCUGUUAAGUCUGCCGAUAAGAAUGACAGACAUACCGCUCAGGAAGGAGAUGCGUCCAGAUUGUCUAGCCCGGCUGAUUUGUAGGGGUCCAGGUUGUCUAGUCCAGCUGAUUUGUAGGGGUCCAGGUUGUCUAGUCCAGCUGAUUUGUAGGGGUCCAGGUUGUCUAGUCCAGCUGAUUUGUAGGGGUCCAGGUUGUCUAGUCCAGCUGAUUUGUAGGGGUCCAGGUUGUCUAGUCCAGCUGAUUUGUAGGGGUCCAGGUUGUCUAGUCCAGCUGAGUUGUAGGGGUCCAGGUUGUCUAGUCCAGCUGAUUUGUAGGGGUCCAGGUUGUCUAGUCCAGCUGAUUUGUAGGGGUCCAGGUUGUCUAGUCCAGCUGAUUUGUAGGGGUCCAGGUUGUCUAGUCCAGCUGAUUUGUAGGGGUCCAGGUUGUCUAGUCCAGCUGAUUUGUAGGGGUCCAGGUUGUCUAGUCCAGCUGAUUUGUAGGGGUCCAGGUUGUCUAGUCCAGCUGAUUUGUAGGGGUCCAGGUUGUCUACCUCGGCUGAUUUGUAGGGGUCCAGAUUGUCUAGUCCAGCUGAUUUGUAGGGGUCCAGGUUGUCUAGUCCAGCUGAUUUGUAGGGGUCCAGGUUGUCUAGUCCAGCUGAUUUGUAGGGGUCCAGAUUUCGCGGCUCUUUCAGAACAUCAGCUGUCUGGAUUUGGGAGAAGGAGAAAUGGGGGAGGCUUGGCAAGUUGCUGUGGGGGGCGCAGGGCUGUUGACCGGGGUAGGGGUAGGGGUAGCCAGGUGGAAAGCAUGGCUAGCCGUAGAAAAAUUCUUAUUGAAAUUCUCAAUUAUAGUGCAUUUAUCGGUGGUGACAGUGUUUCCUAUCCUCAGAGCAGUGGGCAGCUGGGAGGAGGUGCUCUUAUUCUCCAUGGACUUUACAGUGUCGGCCAGGAAUGGCAAAUAGUUUCUACCCCCAGACAAUCAGGCUGCUGAAUAGACACCACUAGUCAGCUGUUUGUACCAUCAGACCAUCAGGCUGCUGAAUAGACACCACUAGUCAGCUGUUUCUACCAUCAGACCAUCAGGCUGCUGAAUAGACACCACUAGUCAGCUGUUUCUACCAUCAGGCUGCUGAAUAGACACCACUAGUCAGCUGUUUCUACCAUCAGGCUGCUGAAUAGACACCACUAGUCAGCUGUUUCUACCAUCAGGCUGCUGAAUAGACACCACUAGUCAGCUGUUUCUACCAUCAGGCUGCUGAAUAGACACCACUAGUCAGCUGUUUCUACCAUCAGACCAUCAGGCUGCUGAAUGGACACCACUAGUCAGCUGUUUCUACCCCCAGACCAUCAGGCUGCUGAAUAGACACCACUAGUCAGCUGUUUCUACCAUCAGGCUGCUGAAUAGACACCACUAGUCAGCUGUUUCUACCAUCAGACCAUCAGGCUGCUGAAUGGACACCACUAGUCAGCUGUUUCUAUCCCCAGAGCAUCAGGCUGCUUAAUAGACACCAUUUUCUCUAGUGAAAUCAAAUCGUCUUGCAUGCUGGAGUUCAGAGCCUCUGAUUUCCACUGUGCCCUGCAGUCACACCUUCAAGCCUGUGUGACUAUUUAACGCAGAUGUGUCGAUGCAGCGUGAAAUUGUCAUGCUGACUGGAGGAAUGUCCACCAGAGAAUAUAAUUUACAUUUCUCUACCAUAAGCUGCCGCCAACGUAAUUUUUGAGAAUUUCGUAGUUCGUCCAACCGGCCUCACAACCCCAGACUACGUGAAACCACACCAGCCCAGAACCUCCUCCUCCGGCUUCUUCACCUGUGGUGUCGUCUGAGACCAGCCACCUGGACAGCUGAUGAAACUGUGGAUUUAAACAAACUGUCAGAUACCGUCUCAGGGAAGCUCGUCUGCGUGCUCCUCAUCCUCACCAGAGUUUUGACCUGACUGAAGUUCGGCGUCGUAACCGUCUUCAGUGGACAAAUACUCACCUUCGAUUGCCACUGGCACGCUGGAGAAGUGUCCUCUUCACGGAUAAAUCCUGAUUUCAACAGUUUGGCAGACGAGCGUGUGUGGUGUUGUGUGGGCGAGCGUUUUGCUGAUGUCAACUUUGUGAACAGAGUGCCCCAUGGUGGAGGUAGGGUUAUGGUAUGGGGCCCAUGGUGGAGGUAGGGUUAUGGUAUGGGCCCCAUGGUGGAGGUAGGGUUAUGGUAUGGGCCCCAUGGUGGAGGUAGGGUUAUGGUAUGGGCAGGCAUAAGCUACAGACACUGAAAACAAUUGAAUUUUAUUGAUGGCAAUUUGAAUGCACAGAGAUACAGGGACGAGAUCCUGAGGCCCAUUGUCGUGCCAUUCAUCCACCACCAUCACCUCAUGUUUCAGCAUGAUAACGCAGAGAUCCCAUGUCGCAAGGAUCUGCACACAAUUCCUGGAAGCUGAAAAGGUCCCAGUUCUUCCAUGGCCUGCAUACUCACCAAACAUGUCACACAUUGAGCAUGUUUGGGAUGCUCUGGAUCGAGGUGUAUGACAGCAUGUUCCAGUUCAAUAUCCAGCAACUUCACACAGCCAUUGAAG